CGGAGUUUGAGGGAGAAAGGGUCAGUUUUGGCAUCAAGGUGUUCAUCGCCUUCAUCUUUAUUCAUACGCACGUGCUGCACGAUGGAUAUUGUGGACCCACAAGUGCUAAAAGUGUUUAUGGAGCUCGCAAUGACGGAGAAAGAAACAUCAAGAAUAGUGAUAAUGAUUUUAUUUAACAAAUUUAAUAUUGCUGCAAUAAAUAUGACGCAUAAAACAUGUUUAAUAUGAUAUUUAUUUUUCUUAUCGCAGAUGAAUGGAUUAACGUGGCAUCCGAAAUGUUUGCAGUGCUCUGUGUGCGGAGAGUCCUUGAGUCAACAUUACAGCAUCUUCAUCAGAAAUAAAAAGAUUUUCUGUAGAACGGAUUAUAACAGGUCUCUUCAUUGUUUGAGUCUCUUCCUGGCUAGUGAGGCUUUGGAGGACCGUCUCCGUGUGAAGCGCAGUUCUCUCAUUACAGUCAGAAAAUAUCCUUUCACCUGUGGAGGGAUGUGAUUGGAUGUUGACUUCCAUAGUCAACAGCUCUUCAGGAGGAGUCUAAGCAUAAAUACUCUGACUCACCUGAACAAGUACAAAUAAAAGCCACCAGUUCUUCCCCGGGUGAAACCACACUCAGGUGCUGCACUACAUUUGGACACAAUCCAUGUAAGUAUUAGAUUUCUUAUUCACAAAGUCUUCUUGGUUUGCAACCAAAUUACCAUCUAUUCUUUCUUUUAUUUUUUUAUUUUUUAUUAAAGCCAACAAAUUUGCAGGAUCAUUUUUCCAAAUGUAAUUCUUCACUGCAGUAUAAUAUUAAAUAUCAUUAAAUAGUUCCUUAAACAUUAGAUAUCUGUCUGAUGAAGAGUGUGAAGGAGAGCUAUUGGUUUUCUGUGCUUUCAUAGUACUUUUCAUAUGGCAUAAGGAAACAACAGGCUGAAUUCAGACUAACAACCAAUGAAUAUUUUGUUCACCAGCAGUGCGCAUAC
This 959-nucleotide long non-coding RNA is filed under the name Carassius auratus (goldfish). RNAcentral describes it as "lncRNA (ENSCARG00000054051.1)". Lineage: Eukaryota; Metazoa; Chordata; Actinopteri; Cypriniformes; Cyprinidae. The record is from RNAcentral.